RNAcentral lists this transfer RNA (57 nucleotides) under Ceroplastes floridensis. RNAcentral describes it as "tRNA-Gly". Lineage: Eukaryota; Metazoa; Arthropoda; Insecta; Hemiptera; Coccidae. The record is from RNAcentral.
AUUUUAUUAAUAUAAAUAAAUAUAUUUAACUUCCACUUAAAAAAUAAAAAUAAAAUU